Mustela erminea (ermine) is the source of this 4214-nucleotide long non-coding RNA. RefSeq lists it as uncharacterized. Lineage: Eukaryota; Metazoa; Chordata; Mammalia; Carnivora; Mustelidae. The record is from RefSeq and is a predicted model, not a curated record. The transcript is spliced from 3 exons.
GGACCGCAGGAUGAACAAUCAAUAGGCAGAAAGCAAGAUAGAGGCUUCCUCAGCUUUUGGAUCGACAAUCGACAGCUGAGAGACUAUUUUUUGCUAUGGUUGACUAAAUAUGGUCAGGGAAGAGAGAGGCACAAGAGAGCCUGUUUGCCUGGGAGUGCAUGUUUCAAAUGCUUAGCUGCCUAUAAAGCUGUAACAGUUUAGCCCGUGGCCACUGAGAGAAGAAUAUAAGUUAACCUCUGUAGUGACCAUGUGGAAGUCCUGACCUUGCCUGCAGACUUGACCUCUGGAUAUGACAAGGUGAGGUUCUAUGUUCACUGAUCCGGCCCCCUUGCUUCCUUCGGCUUAUGAAAAGAAGUGCUGAAUCAGCGAAUAGAAUGAAGGAACCAUCAAGAGGAGAUGGCUGCUGCUGCUGUGGCUCUCUAGGAUCUAGAAGCAAACUACAAAAUAAGAAGAAAUUCUCUCUGAAGACUAUGAAGAAACACUAGACUGAUUUUACCAAUUUCUGAAAUAAUACUCUGUAAAGACUCCACUGAUUCUAUGAAUCUCUUGCAAAAACAACCAGACCAGGACAAAGUUCAACAGAUAACUGGUUAGUGUUUAGAAGUAUCUAUGCCCACCAAGAACAAGGAGCCGUAAAUGGCACUAAUGCCAUGCUUCAGGUAAAUCUGCUACGGUUUAGUCUUUGACAGUCUCUGCAAAUGAUCUACCACGACUUUGUAUCAGUAAGCUGAAUGUUUCACUAACAAAUGGGAAAAUAAAACAUUUCAUGUUUUUACAGCUAACAACUUAGUAAAACCUACUCAGAGUACAUACUUCUUUAUGUACCCAUAUGAACAUACAAUGCUAUGGAAUGUAAAGAAGUAUGUAUUUUUGGUAGGCAAUAAACUGCCAGGAGGAACUACACUGCGGCUAAAAGAAGCCCUUGCUUCUUUCUAUGUGAAUGACCUUCAUAUGGUAAAUUAACCUGGUAUCAAAGAGAUGACCUUUGGCAAUACUAACACCAUAAAAAUGUAUCUACUACUUUUAGAUGGAAACGAAAUGUUGCAAAGAUUUCUACGUUGUGAAGAAAACAAAGUUUAACUAAGGAGAUUUAAAAUUAUCAUGAAACUCCUUUUAAAUCUUUUAAGUUCAAAAUACACUAUGCUUUACAUUUUUAAAUUUAGUACUCACAUGAUUAAAAUUUGGAUACAGAAAUCAGUAUUACUAGAACAAAAGAGGGAUAAACAUGACCUAUGUUCUCUCUCAUAAUAUGAUCUUAAUUAAAGUAUAUAUCAUAUUAGUAGGGUCAACUGGUUUGUUAAGAAUAACAAAAUAUAACAAAAACUGACAUCAUUACAUUUUAACAAUUUUCUUGAUACAUUGAUAAGUAUGUAGUCUACUGACAUUAGAGGAAUUUCUGAAGCAAGUUUUGUUGUUUUAAGCUUUUCUGAAAGCUACAUAGUCAUAAUUGGAAAAGACUAUCUUUUAAGUAACACUCUAUUCUCAAAAAAAAAGGUGGUGUUUGUUCUUAAAUUAAUCAGGUCCUUAACCCAGUCUUUGCUUUAAAUGCUGUCAGUAUGUAGAAUAAAUUAAAACCUAAGAUUUAUGCAUGAAAAAUGAUAAAAUUCUGGGCCAUAAUUGUAGGUUAACAGGGCACAUUGGUAACAGAUUGCCAAAUAAUUAAAAUAAAUUAUCAAUAUUAUCCUUGAAUCUGCUUUCUCCAAAGGGGAACAUAAAAUGAAAAUGCUAUAGUCAAGUAACCAAUUUACACAGACAGAAUAAUCAUCUUUCAGUGGUACUGUGCAACAGCAAUUCAAUAUUUACAAACAUGAUAGGGUCCACUAUUUGUCCUGUGUUGGAGGUAUCACAAUAUUUUUUUGUACCUUAUACAAAACUUAUUUUGUAUAAUAGACAUAUAUUAACAAAAUAAUAAAUAAUAAAGCUGCUCUCAAUACUUUAAUAAGCAGUACCUGCUUCAUGCUUCAACAGACUUGGAAAAAAAGAAAUACUAAUAUUCAUAUAUUCUAAUCAUUUCUUACUAAAAGUAUUAUUCCAACUGGAAUAUUCAGACAUGUAUAAAAAGCACAAUGAUAAAUGAAAAUUCUUAUGUGUCCCAAGUUGAACAGAAAUGGCUAUAAGGUUAACUACAGUUAUAACUGAAAAUAUGUAUGUCAAAAGUACAGGUUCCCUAUAAAACUAGACAAAGUGUAUUACUAUACUCGUGAUUUAUUUAACAUUAUAAAAUUAUUGAGCAUUAUAAAAUUAUAGAACAAUUUUAUCCAUUAUUCUGUAGGCAUGAAAGUUUUUUAUAAUUAUUUUAAAACAUCCUGGUGUCAAAGUCUUAUUGCUCUAAUAUUAAGAGUACAUAAUCCUCAGAAAAUAAAAUGACAGCAACUGCUAUUCAUUUUAAAAAAUAAGAUUAUAUACUGGUUUUAGUGCUUACAAGUUUAACUGAACAUAUCUGAGUCUUUUCAAUCAUUCUAAAAUGUCACAUCCAUUGCUUAGAUCAGCUGUUCAUUUUUAACUGAGUACAUAGUAAACUCUGGGCAUCUGCUGACACUGGUGUAACUCAAACAUUUCAACUGUCUCUCUGACAGGGAUAACAGAUGCUGACAUUAUCAAAUGCUGCACUAUUUUUUUUCCAUGGCCUCUCCUUGCCCCAAUAUGGCCAGUAUAUGAAACUGAACUGCCAUCCAAAAGCACACUUGAGCAACUGGAUCUGCUAAACAGCUCCCAUAUAACUAGUAAAAAUAGAAGCCAGUUUUAUUGCUAUCUUCAGCACUUAAGUCCAGGCAAUUUAACACCUGUUUCAUUUCUAUUAGAAUAAAUGGAAAGAAUUGUAGUUACAUGAGUUUCACCAGCAGCAUGACACUUACCAAUCAACAGAUGCAGAAUAUACUUAAUAUGAGAACUGUUUGAAUACUGCCUGAAAUAGUGUCAGCCUUUUUCCAGUUAAGUUCAAAAGAGUAACUGCUUCUUUAUAGGUGAAGUGAGUUACUUAUAAAAGUAAGUGAAAGCACUUACUUUAUAGGCAAACCAUAGUAUCUCAAAGUUUUAUUUUGCAAUUAUAUUUCAGAAGAUAUCCCUUCCCUGAUACUGAAAUGCAACACAAAUCAUAUUAUAACAAACACCUACUGUACUGACUUUUAAAAUAUUACUCAUGUAGUAGACUUUAAUACUCAAAUUUAUUGAUUAUAACUAUGCACUGCAAGUCCAUGUAUUAUUAAGCUGAUAAUGGAAGUAACUAGGCAAUCUGUACCCAAAACGAUGGAGAACUCAGUCAGGGAAAUAGACCUUGAAAAGGGUUAAAUUACUAACCUAUGAUUAGUAACACUACAUAAGCAAAAACAAAGAAAAAAUCUGGCAUGUAUCGUAGUUCCUUUCAACACAAGUCCAAGCAAUACACUGAACACACGUGUGAUCUAUUUAUAAACCAAAGGGCAGAGGUACUUUCUUAAGGCUGCUCAUUUUCCUCCACCCCCUCCCUGUCAGCAACUUGCUAUUACCCUCAAGUAUAAUUUUAAUUAAAGGAGCAGUGGAAGACGGGUUACCAGUACUCUUCCCUAACCUAUUAGCAUACUUCCUUGGUUCACUGCCUCAAAGAUAAAUACAAAAUAGUAUUCCGAAAUACAUCAAGGUCUGUUUGUUCCUUUAAAUGCUGUUGGUUUUAAAACAGGUUAUUGUCUACACUUAAGAAUUAUGCAAAGCUGUACACUGGUAAUUCCUUAAUGCAUCAACGAAAUGUUAAAGGGUAAAGACUUCUGCUCCACUCAAGUAGGAAAUAGUAGGAAAACUGCCUUCAAAAUAGAAAAGUUGACACAUAAUGACUGAAGUACUGAUACGAGAAUCUCUAACAUUUGUUGAAAGUCCAUAACCAUAGUUGUACAAAUAAAAAGCAUUUAAACUCUUUCGUAUCCCAAACUAGCAGCACUGCAAUGCUUUGCUAGAGCUGGUAAAAUGGAACCAAAUCGCCUCUUCAAUGGAUUUGGUCCCCUUCAACCAGCUGUAGCUAUGCAUUGAUUACUACAGGACAGCCAACGUUUUUCAUUUAUGAAUAUCAAUCACAUGUCGACUAGCUUCAGCUUAAAAUAAGUUAUUCAGACUGUGGUUUAAAUCAAAUAAUUUGUUACUGUUAAUUCUCCUUAGGAGAACCACAGGGGUUAACAAUGUUUAGAAAAAGUUUUAUGAAAAAUGUGUGGAUGACUUAUGAACUGCAAAUAAAAUAAUUUUACUUA